This 1518-nucleotide ribosomal RNA is filed under the name Achromobacter pulmonis. RNAcentral describes it as "bacterial SSU rRNA". It matches the Rfam family "Bacterial small subunit ribosomal RNA". Lineage: Bacteria; Pseudomonadati; Pseudomonadota; Betaproteobacteria; Burkholderiales; Alcaligenaceae. The record is from RNAcentral.
UUUAUUUUAAGUUUUUGUAUCAGCUCAGAUUGAACGCUGAGCGGCGAUCCUAACCACAUGCAAGUCGAACGACAGCGCGAACUUGGUUCUGGAGUCGAGGGGCGGACCGGUGGAGUAAUCUAUCGGAUCGUCCUCAGUAUCGGGGAAUACGUACGCGAAAGAGUGGUUAUUCCGCCUUACUCCUUACGGGGAAAAGCGGGGAUUCUCAAGACUUGGCAUUUUUGGAGCGCCUGAUUUGGGUUAAGUUAGUGGGGGGGUUAACGCUUCACCAAGCCAAGGUUCGUUAGUUGUUUGGAGAGAUGGUCCAUCCCCACUGAACUGGAGCCACGUCCCAGCUUCUUCCGGAAGCAAGCAUUGGGAAUUUUUGGCCAUGGGGGAAAACCUGAAUCCACCCUUCCGGCGUGUGGGAGGAAGUCUUUGGGGUGGUAAACCACUUUAGGCAGGAAGAAAAGGUUUCGGGUUAAUACCCCGCGAUACGGACGGUACAACCAGAAUAACCACGGGUAAAUUACGUCCCACCAGCCGCGGUAAUAGAAGGGGGCCAAGCUUUAUUGGAAAUUAUGGGGCGUAAAGCGUGGGCGGGCGUUUCGGAAAGAAAGAUGAAAAUCCCGGGCUCAACCUUGGAAAUGCCUUUUUAAACUACCAGGUUGGAUUGGGUCAGAGGGAGGGGGAAUUCCGGGGGUAGCAGUGAAAGGGGUAGAUAUGGGGAGGAACCCCGAGGGGGAAGGCAGCCCCCUGGGAUAACAUUGCCGUUAGGUCAGGAAAGGUUGGGGAGCAACCAGGAUUAGAUACCCUGGUAGUCCACCCCUUAAGACGAGAUGUCAAUUAGCUGUUGGGGUCCUUUGGGACCUUGGUAGCGCAGCUUACGCGUGAAGUUGACCGCCUGGGGACGACGAUGGCCCCAGAGUAAAACUCCAAGGAAUUGACGGGGACCCCCCCAAGCGGGGGAAGAUGGGGAUUAAUUCCAAGCCACCCCAAAAACCUUACCUACCCUUGACAUGUCUGGAAAGUUUAAAAAAUUUGGCUGUGCUCUCAAGAGAACCGGAACACAGGUGCUGCAGGGCUGUCGUCAGCUCGUGUCGUGAGAUGUUGGGUUAAGUCCCGCAACGAGCGCAACCCUUGUCAUUAGUUGCUACAAAAGGGCACUCUAAUGAGACUGCCGGUGACAAACCGGAGGAAGGUGGGGAUGACGUCAAGUCCUCAUGGCCCUUAUGGGUAGGGCUUCACACGUCAUACAAUGGUCGGGACAGAGGGUCGCCAACCCGCGAGGGGGAGCCAAUCCCAAAAACCCGAUCGUAAUCCGGAUCGCAAUCUGCAACUCGACUGCGUGAAGUCGGAAUCGCUAGUAAUCGCGGAUCAGCAUGUCGCGGUGAAUACGUUCCCGGGUCUUGUACACACCGCCCGUCACACCAUGGGAGUGGGUUUUACCAGAAGUAGUUAGCCUAACCGCAAGGGGGGCGAUUACCACGGUAGGAUUCAUGACUGGGGUGAAGUCGAGAGGGAAACCAAAAAACCAAA